Molecule: unclassified non-coding RNA, 276 nt
Filed under: Hevea brasiliensis (rubber tree)
Lineage: Eukaryota; Viridiplantae; Streptophyta; Magnoliopsida; Malpighiales; Euphorbiaceae
Source: RNAcentral
UAGACAGAAAGAGCAGGGAGUGCUAGAGAACCAGCAAGGGAGGAAAUGAAAACAAUGCUAGCAGUAUUUCCACAUGCUUUCAAAAGAGGAUAAGCAAUUUGAGUGAUGUGGAAAGGUGAAUCUACAUUGGUUCCCAUAAUUUUUGAAUAAUCUUCCACACUUAUAUCUGCUGUUCUUUUUAUCAUACUUAUUGCUGCAUUAUUCACCAGUAUAUUGAGCUUUCCCUCAAAAACAGAGGAAACAUUGUGAAUAAGUUGUUCUCUCUGUUCUUUAAAA